GCAGUCCCGAAGGCCGGCCACUCCCAGCCAAGAAAGAAAGACGACGGCGACACGCAUAGGUACGCCGUACAAGGAACCAUUCGCAUGGGCCUCCUCGACCAGCUCUGGGACGAGACGGUCGCCGGCCCACGGCCGGACCACGGCUUCAGCAAGCUCCGGAAAUACUCCUCCUUCUCGCCCUCGAGCCCGGCGGCCGCAGACGUCGCGCCGGCGGUGACCCGCAGCAUCACCAUCGCCCGGCCGCCGUCUCUCUCCCUCCCGUCCGGCGAGUCGAGCUCCGUGCCGUCCACCCCGGCCAGUGCGCCGGACUCCCCGUUCGCAGCAGGCACCGGUAGCACGCCGAGGGUGGACGGCUGGAGGGCGUUCCGCCGGAAAUCCAAGAUGGCCAACGUCGACGCCGUCCAGGCAGAGGCGACCGCCGGGCCCAGGAGCCCAACCGUGUACGACUGGUGCGUUUAAACGUCACCUUCACUCUCACCCCAUGCUGCUUGCACCAUACGAAUGAUGAUCCCAUACACAAAAAACUCUCUCACCCCAUGCUGCUUGCACCAUACGAAUGAUGAUGCAUACACAAAAACUACCUACGUCAGACCAAUCAUUCCGUUGAAAGAAGAUAAAGAACAUAUGGCAGAAGGGUCACCGUGGUAGGUGGUGGUUCCGUUUAACUUCGGAUCGCCGUGCUUGCAGGGUGGUGAUCAGUUCAUUGGACCGAUAAUAAAGAAGCACAACCGGAGUGUGAAAUAAUCGAUCGAAGAAGGGGAGGAGGUAGCUGGCGUGUUUGAGGCCGCGUGUUCGUCACGUCAUAUGUAUACCUGCUAUUGUGUAAUCGUUGUGUUAACUAGGUGCACUAUCUUUUCUCUUCCUUUACGUAGUUGUGCGCCCUUUCGGGGGGCCAAAGUAUGUGAUGUGGUUAUCAGUAGUAGGCUCCGAUCAAGAUGUAUUGCCAUCACAAAGGCGCCCUUUAUUUUAUAUGGAGGAGAUGACCGUUGAAAUGGGGUUGCAAUGCAAGUGUUCGAUCAUCCUUCCUUUUCCUACUAUAAUUGUCCAUGUAUUGUAAUUGAGUACCAUGUAUGUAUGGAGUUAAAUGCAACAAAUAACCCUAAUUUUGCCACCGU
This 1115-nucleotide ribosomal RNA is filed under the name Triticum aestivum (bread wheat). RNAcentral describes it as "partial small subunit ribosomal RNA". Lineage: Eukaryota; Viridiplantae; Streptophyta; Magnoliopsida; Poales; Poaceae. The record is from RNAcentral.